UAUCUUCGGGGACGGGUGAAAUUCCCUACCGGCAGUAAAGUCUGCGAAGCCUUAGAGGCCCGAACCGGUGUGAUUCCGGUACCGACAGUAAAGUCUGGAUGAGAGAAGGU
Molecule: non-coding RNA, 110 nt
Filed under: bovine gut metagenome
Description: FMN riboswitch (RFN element)
Rfam family: FMN riboswitch aptamer (RFN element)
About the family: The RFN element is a highly conserved domain that is found frequently in the 5'-untranslated regions of prokaryotic mRNAs that encode for flavin mononucleotide (FMN) biosynthesis and transport proteins. This element is a metabolite-dependent riboswitch that directly binds FMN in the absence of proteins.
Source: RNAcentral